This 536-nucleotide long non-coding RNA is filed under the name Brassica rapa (field mustard). RNAcentral's name for it is "long non-coding RNA (BRAP_LNC007630)". Lineage: Eukaryota; Viridiplantae; Streptophyta; Magnoliopsida; Brassicales; Brassicaceae. The record is from RNAcentral.
ACGGGUUUAGGGUUUUAGUGUUUAGUAUUUUUAGAUUUAGAGUUUAUGAUUUAUCCAAGGGUUUAGGGUUUACCCAAGGGUUUAGGGUUUUGGAUUUAGGGUUUAGGGAUUAGGAUUUAGGGUUUAGUGUUUUGGUGACGACGUUAAAAAUAUUUUUUUAAUUCUUUUUUCUGUAAUUCCUUUUUAUAUUUUAUUUUUAAAAACAUAAUAUAACUUGACAAUAUUUUUUUUCUUUUUUAAAAGAUAUCGAAUUUGAAAUAAAGAAAUUCUAUUGGUUGGUGAACUUAAAGGUUCAACCUAGGGGGUGAACCCAAGAAUAACUCUAUUUUUAUACCAUUAUGUGGUCUUUUGGUAAACCUAAUUUUUAUUGAGAUUGUUAAAAUCUAAAGAUAUUUGGUAACCAAUAAAAUGGAAACUAAAUGAGUUUAAGUUUAUAAUGAUGUAACUAAUGGACAAGUGAUUCAUGUUCUAGAAGGUUUCUCACUUUGUAACUAAUGAAAACAUGUGCCAAUGUGUAAGAAAACAUUUGAAUGAAG